UCAAAGCUUUCUCCACAGCUACGCCCCUUUCCUCCAGCUGCCUCUGCUUUUCCUCCACCUGCUCCAACUGCCUCUGGAUGAUCUGAACAAACAGGCAGGUUUCUGAGGGACGUGGCUGCAGAGGUUACCUCUAACACUCGACUGAUGCAACAGUUUACCCUCAUUAAAAAUAAAUGGCUGGAGGCACAGCGGGAGCACCGCUAAUUGGAAGUGUAUUGAUGUCUACAAGCUCCACAUCAGGACUGUCUGCCUCUGCUUCCAGAUCUUCAUCUUCACAGAGCUCUGGCAUGACAAAAGAAGACGGCAAGAAUUUGGCGUGGAGCUCCACCGCCUCCUUCCAGGGAACCCCGCCGAGGUCUGAGGGACUAUGAGGUUGUUGUUCCACCUCCUCCUGAUCCUGAUCCUGAUCCUCCUGCUCAUCCUCCUCCUCCAUGUCUGACUCUGAGC
This is a long non-coding RNA of Epinephelus fuscoguttatus (brown-marbled grouper), 447 nucleotides long. RefSeq lists it as uncharacterized. The transcript has 4 exons. Lineage: Eukaryota; Metazoa; Chordata; Actinopteri; Perciformes; Serranidae. The record is from RefSeq and is a predicted model, not a curated record.